UUAGAUGCAUUAAUUAAUCUAAGUAUUAGCUUAGAUAGGCGUCUUCGUGAACGAAGGCAUGAACGAGGCUCAGUUGAAUUCACUACAAAACGUCCCAUCACAUCUGGAGCCUCACAUUCUUACAAUAGACCAGUACCACAGUCUACUCCUGAAGCUAUGGACAUUGGCGUAAUAAGAGGUCCCUUGAACCCACAAGAAAAGCAAAGAAGAAAAAAUAACAACCUCUGCUUGUACUGUGGUGCCGCUCAACACACUGUCAAGGACUGUCCUCUUCUGAUUCGUCAAAGGAAGGUGGGAGAACCAUCGGCUAACCAGUCAAGCGAUUAUUGAUUCUGGAGCAAGCGCUAAUUAUAUUGAUUCACAUUUUGUCACUGUAAAUAAAAUUCCACUAAUUAAAAAGCAGAA
Long non-coding RNA from Bombina bombina (fire-bellied toad), 405 nucleotides. RefSeq lists it as uncharacterized. The record is from RefSeq and is a predicted model, not a curated record. The transcript is spliced from 2 exons. Lineage: Eukaryota; Metazoa; Chordata; Amphibia; Anura; Bombinatoridae.